RNAcentral lists this ribosomal RNA (254 nucleotides) under uncultured bacterium. Its description in RNAcentral is "partial 16S ribosomal RNA". It matches the Rfam family "Bacterial small subunit ribosomal RNA", at positions 524 to 776 of the family's 1533-position model. The record is from RNAcentral.
UACGUAGGGUGCGAGCGUUAAUCGGAAUUACUGGGCGUAAAGCGUGCGCAGGCGGUUCUCCAAGUCCGUUGUGAAAGCCCCGGGCCUCAACCUGGGAAUGGCAGUGGAAACUAGGGGACUGGAAUCUGGCAGAGGGGGGUGGAAUGCCGCGUGUAGCAGUGAAAUGCGUAGAGAUGCGGCGGAACACCGAUGGCGAAGGCAGCCCCCUGGGCUGAGAUUGACGCUCAGGCACGAAAGCGUGGGGAGCAAACAGG